GAUGAACGCUGGCGGCGUGCUUAACACAUGCAAGUCGAACGAAGCACUCUAUUUGAUUUCCUUCGGGACUGAUUAUUUUGUGACUGAGUGGCGGACGGGUGAGUAACGCGUGGGUAACCUGCCUUGUACAGGGGGAUAACAGUUGGAAACGGCUGCUAAUACCGCAUAAGCGCACAGCAUCGCAUGAUGCAGUGUGAAAAGCGCCGGUGGUAUAAGAUGGACCCGCGUUGGAUUAGCUAGUUGGUGAGGUAACGGCCCACCAAGGCGACGAUCCAUAGCCGACCGGGGAGGGGGCCCGGCCACGUUGGGACUGAGACACGGCCCAAACUCCUACGGGAGGCAGCAGUGGGGAAUAUUGCACAAUGGGCGAAAGCCUGAUGCAGCGACGCCGCGUGAGCGAAGAAGUAUUUCGGUAUGUAAAGCUCUAUCAGCAGGGAAGAUAAUGACGGUACCUGACUAAGAAGCACCGGCUAAAUACGUG
RNAcentral lists this ribosomal RNA (481 nucleotides) under uncultured bacterium. RNAcentral describes it as "partial 16S ribosomal RNA". It matches the Rfam family "Bacterial small subunit ribosomal RNA", at positions 28 to 507 of the family's 1533-position model. The record is from RNAcentral.